RNAcentral lists this ribosomal RNA (202 nucleotides) under uncultured bacterium. RNAcentral's name for it is "partial 16S ribosomal RNA". It matches the Rfam family "Bacterial small subunit ribosomal RNA", at positions 293 to 488 of the family's 1533-position model. The record is from RNAcentral.
UGAGAGGGUGACCGGCCACACUGGGACUGAGACACGGCCCAGACUCCUACGGGAGGCAGCAGUGGGUAUUUUUCGGCAAGGGGGGAAACCCUGACCGAGCACCGCCGCGUGAAGGAAGAAGUCAUUCGUUAUGUAAACUUCUGUCAUAGUGGAAGAACGGUGGAUAUAGGGAAUGAUAUCCAAGUGACGGUACUCUAUAAGA